UACGUAGGGAGCAAGCGUUGUCCGGAAUCAUUGGGCGUAACGCGCGCGUAGGUGGCCACAUAAGUCCGUUGUGAAAGUCAAAGGCUCAACCUUUGAAAGCCGAUGGAUACUGUGUGGCUAGAGUACGGAAGAGGCGAGUGGAAUUCCUGGUGUAGCGGUGGAAUGCGCAGAUAUCAGGAGGAACACCAAUAGCGAAGGCAGCUCGCUGGGACGUUACUGACACUGAGGCGCGAAAGCGUGGGGAGCGAACAGG
RNAcentral lists this ribosomal RNA (253 nucleotides) under uncultured bacterium. RNAcentral's name for it is "partial 16S ribosomal RNA". It matches the Rfam family "Bacterial small subunit ribosomal RNA", at positions 524 to 776 of the family's 1533-position model. The record is from RNAcentral.